Molecule: RNA transcript, 5143 nt
Organism: Raphanus sativus (radish)
Lineage: Eukaryota; Viridiplantae; Streptophyta; Magnoliopsida; Brassicales; Brassicaceae
Exons: 2
Source: RefSeq, a predicted model, not a curated record
CUACUUCUCUUUUCUUUAUUUUUUAUUUUUAAAUUGAAUUGUUUUACUUUUAUUUAUUGAGAUCUUAAUUACUCUUGAGAAAAAAUAGUCUUGAAUUUUCCAGUUGUGAGUAUUUUUUGUAUUAAUAGAAUCAAUAGUCUUGUUAGUAUUCUUAGGGGUUUUUGUUUAUCUUUUGUUGAAAAUCAAUUUAAGAAGUUUGAUUUCCUUAAAUUUAACCAAGUUGUCUUGGCCUAGUGGUAAAGGGGCUCCGGCUGGAGUUUCCGCCCUGGGUUCGAUUCCGCUUGGCCACCGGGGCUAGCGUUAAAUCGCAAGAAUACGUGGGUUGCCGUCGGCCUCAGGGGAUUAGUCUUGGGCUUAGAAAGCCUUUGGAUCACCCCCUGGUUAAUCAAAAAAAAAAUUUCCUUAAAUUUCUGUAACUUUUUAACAAUUUCUAAUUUAAUGAUUAGUUUUACAAUGAGUGUUUAAAAAAAAAAAGAAGAUUAGUUUUACAAUAAAAACAGAAGAGUUUGACAUUCUUAGAAUUAUACUAAAUUACGUUAAGGACCACACUAAUUCGUUAAGUCAUUUUACCUUUAAUUAUGAGCAGGGCCGGUUCAUUAUAUAUGAUGGCCUCCAAAUUAUGGAAUUUGUUAUAAAUAUUGUAGUGAUGUCCAUAUGGAAAGUCCUAGAUAUACUUGUUCCCCACUCCAAGUUAAGCUUUGUCUCCAAGCUAUUGUAUCCUAUAUAAGGAGAUCAUUAUUCAUGGAAUAAGACACACCAGUGCCGAGUAUCAAUGUGAGAUGAUAUACGGUGAUGCUGAAGAAGCUAAGAAAAGAAAAUUCGGGUGGACUCAUAUAGAUGAUGAGAUUGGUUUAUUCAUUGAAUAGAGAACCAAAUGUGAGCCACGUCCAAGAUGUUAUUAUGGACUGGCCGGCUAUUGUUUAAGCCUUUUGACAUUCUGAUUUCAUACUUAUGAUUUGGUGUUUUCUUUUAAAUAUAAUUUGUCAUUCAAAUUUCAUAGCAUUAAUAAAAGUUUUUCUUUUAUCUUGAUUGAUUUGCUUGAAAAAUAUUUUUGAUUGACAAAUGAGAAUGAAAACUCGAGAAGAGUAUGUCUAGACCACCACGCCUAAGGCAUGGCCUUAAGAGGCACGAAAUUUAUCACCUAAGACCCAUUGAGAGAGACCAAAAAAAAAAAAAAAAAAAAAAAAAAUCUCCACUGGCCGUGGACAAGGAUACCACAAUAACCGUGGUUGUAGAUCCAAUCAUGGUCGAGGAGGGAGUAAAGGUCGAAAUGGCAUUACAAGCCACAUCAAAAUGGUUUCAAUAAUAAACCAAUGGGCAAAGUAAAGCAAAAGGAAAUGUCCUUUUACCUUAUGAAAAUCGCCAAAGGCAUAUAUAUAAGAGAGGUCGAGACUACAUUCUCCCUACUGAUCUAAUACUAUGCUAAGGAUCAGUGUGAUAAGGCAUAAAAGCCUAGGUAACCAGUAAGGUUCACCAACGAAUUUAUACACUUUAUGGCAUGACCGGAUUAGCCAUCCUGGUCCGAACUUGAUUCAAAGUUUAAAAUUACUAAGGCACAAAGAGUUAUCCCAUAAGAUCUCACGUUGUGAAACAUGUACACAAGGGAAACUCAGUAGGCUUCAUUGUUCCAAGCAACACGAAAGUAUAAUCUGAUCAUAAGGGUAGUGAGGACAAAACCCGUGAUCAUGACCAGACCACAAAUUCGUGUAACAUGGUCUAAAACCAUGCUGGCCGUCCAAGCAUUACGUUUAAGUGAGGACAAACAAAUGUAUUUUAUAGCAUGUUCAUGAGGGGGAGAAUAAACACUCCGUAUGGUCCAUGACCAUACUAUAAAACCCGAACAUGAUAAGCCUGGCCAAAGGCCAUAAGACAUUAUAGCUUGGCCGUAUAAGGCAUAACCUAUAAGGUUGAGACUUCAAAAGUCUAUAAGCUUGGGUACACCACAAGAAUACAUGUAUGAAAGAUAAGAUACAUCAGGCCAUAUAAAGUGAGCAUAGAUAUUCCCGUCUAAAGAUGAUAAAGGGUCAUAAUCCAGAUAUAGACCAUCCUAAGAGUCUAUGAAUAAACCACCACAUACCUAUGUGCCAUCUAGGAUGGAAUACCUCAUCUAAGGAUGAGAUGAAAAUCGGGAAUAUAUGUUGGAUAAGAGAACAUGAUCUUUCUCCCACGAAUUCAGUGAGACCAUGAGCCAAACAAAGGUGAUCAUAUUGUGGCCAAGGUACACGGAUUACAUACAAGAUGAAUCCGACUAUCCAACAUCAUGGAGAAAGCUAUAAGCUGGUAAAUAGAAAGUGAAAGUGGAAUGGUUUUAACCAUCCAAGUCUUGGCAAAGAUCCUCGGACCAGAUAUAUAUGUACUGGACGUCCAUAAACAAAGAAAGAAUGAUAGCCAGACAGACCCGAAAGAAUGACUAAGUCAUACCAGCUUAGCACCACUAUAUAAAUGUCCUAGUAGAGACAUAAUCAAGUUGCUGUAGAAGUCUAUACAAAAUAGACAAGUAUGUUCCAUAUAUAAGGAACCUCGGAUAUAAAGAGAUAAGGUGCUCAUAAUGAUAGAUCCGGGUUCAUGAAAGAGAAACCAUACUAGACAAUAAGAUAAGACCGGCCGGUCCUAAGGUACAGCUAUCAUACAAUGUAGCCUUGCAAACUACAAAGUAUUCAAUGAUCCUGAUAAUAAUAAAAUCUCAAUCGAUUGUAUCAUGUCUAGAACGCGAUAGAACGCGAUGGAACAUUAUAUAAGGUGUCGACAUAUACACACACUCAUAAGUGAUAAAGAGAAAGCACUUGAGCAUAAGAGAUAUGCGAGGAUCACUAACCCACGUAAGAGUACUCAUCAUAGAGAAAUGAAUGGGACGUGGAGUUAUAGUAAAGAAUGAAUAUGAUGGGCGUAUUGGCCAAAUACAUAAGAUAGACGCCAUCUAACCAGUGAACAGAUGAGUCUUGUGAGGAAAAGAAAAUCGUGAGCUGUAGAACAUGAAAGUACAGACAAGUGGUCGUACAUGUUGCUACAUAAAGCAUUCAAAAGGAAUGGCUUGAUCACACAAGGAUACUCACAGGGACUAAGGAACAAGGAAAUAAAUUCCUAGGUGGUGAAUGCUACUACCCAAUAUCGAAAUUAAUAAAGAUUUGGACAUCUAAGGAAGAUGUAGUAGACAUUGGAUAUAUCACUGGAUAUAAAGGUAACAUAAGAUACCUUGAGAAAUAAGAAAGAAGUUCUCAUAGAACAACAUCGUUCCUGCGUUGUUCAUGGACUGAAAUGCAGCUGCAUGCGUGUAUGUACACACGAUAUGAUAAGACUAAGUGAUGCUUAGUAGAAAGUUCCAUAAGAACGUUUCAGAUCAGUCCAUAUAGUAGUCAAUAUAUUCCUUGUGUUUAUACUUAAAGAAAGGAUGUUUAAGAUGAUUGAUUCUUGGAAAGGCUAUGAAGAGACUACGAUGAUCUAUAGUAGAGAUCAUUAGCCGUAUAUGAAGGUUGGAAUCUAUGAUCCAACGUACCAAGAAUAGAUUGAUCAAAUGGUCUGAGAAUCCAUCAGAUUCACGACCAAAGGGAACCAUACCGACUAGGAUCAUGUCCGACCUAGUUCGACCUUAAUCAUCAUUGGUCCUGACCAAUCCAUCCUGUCCAGCUUGUAUCGACCAGUUCCUCUAGGUCUUAAAUCCGACCUAAACCAUCCAAGUGAGAGGAACGUCCUAUUGACCAAAAUUGGCUUAGUUUUGAUUAAACUUCAAACUAUAACACAAUAGCCACUUCAUGAACAGACCGUGGACAUAUACUAAAAGUUCAUAAAGAGUUUUGGUCAAAGGAUAUGAAUAAGAUAUAUAGUGGACAAGAACAUAAUCCGGAUGGAUUAUGGAUGAUGUCUUGAUCCGGACAGAUCAUGGACAUACAAAGACAUUCAUGGUCGAAUUUAUCUAAGAGAGAUAAACCAUAUGAUCCGAAUGGACCAUGAAUAUCAUGAAAGCAUUUUGUUGAUGCAGGUUACCAGUCCGAUCCACACAGUGCUAAGUCCCAAACCGGCUAUGUUUUCACAUAUGGAGGCACGACCAUUUCAUGGAGAUCAGUCAAGCAGACUAUAUCAGCCACAUCAUCCAAUCACUCGGAUAUAUUGGCGAUCCAUGAAGUAAGCAAAGAGUGUGUCUGGUUGAGACUCAUGACACACCAUAUUCGGACAUCAUGUGGGAUCACGGAUGGUAAAGACGAGCCGACCGUUCUUUACGAAGACAAUGCGGCCUGCAUAGCUCAGCUCAAAGAUGGUUACAUCAAGGGUGACAAGACUAAGCAUGUUCUCCCCAAGUUCUUCUUCACCCACGAUCUUCAGAAAGAAGGAGAGGUCAAGGUACUCUAAGUCAGAUCCAGCGAGAACUCAGCCGACCUCUUCACUUAGGCAUUACCAACAUGCACGCUCAGGAAGCUUAUGCAGCAGAUUGGUAUGCGAUCACUGAGAAGCCUUCAGUGAUGUUCACUUCAGGGGAAGUAAUGCGGCUGUACUCUUUUUCCUAUCCAUGGCUUCCCGUUUUUACCACAUUGGGUUUUUGGGUUUACCAUGGAAAGGUUUUAACGAGGCAGUAUUCCAAACGCAUUACAAACUCUAGACGGUUAUGGCAUUACAAUCUCGGUUUUUAACGAGGCAGCAUCUACGGCGUUUUGAAAGCACUUCGAUAUAUUGGACAUCAAGGGGAAGUGUUAUAAAUAUUGUAGUGAUGUCCAUAUGGAAAGUCCUAGAUAUACUUGUUCCCCACUCCAAGUUAAGUUUUGUCUCCAAGCUAUUGUAUCCUAUAUAAGGAGAUCAUUAUUCAUGGAAUAAGACACACCAAUUCCUCUCUUCUCUUCUCUUCUCUUCUUUACUUACAACAGAAUUUUUUUUAUUAAAAUCUGUACAGAAAUUAGUGUCCAAAAUUAUCAAGACUGGCCCUGAUUAUGAGCCAGAUAAAGCAUAAUCUGCGAGAUAUGCCAAUCGGUAGCCAGAAACGUGGGCGGUGCAAACGAGAUGGUAAUGGUAACGGUGGUGGACGAGAGAGAGUUAAGAAACGGCGAGGAAACGGUGGCCUUGGGAGCGAUAGAGAAUAGGUGGCAGCCACAGAGAAUGGUGAAUAUAGUGUUAGCUUGUAUGGUCUUUGGCUUCUUUAUUUCAUGGCUCUUCCAUU